GCUUUGGUGGUGCAUCUGGCUAGCAAGCACCUUCGGAAAGGAUGAGGCGCGGGUUCGACUCCCGCCCGCGGUU
Molecule: non-coding RNA, 73 nt
Organism: Parelaphostrongylus tenuis
Lineage: Eukaryota; Metazoa; Nematoda; Chromadorea; Rhabditida; Metastrongylidae
Source: the annotation of a GenBank genome assembly